RNAcentral lists this unclassified non-coding RNA (729 nucleotides) under Melitaea cinxia (Glanville fritillary). RNAcentral's name for it is "misc RNA ENSMCXG00005001420.1". Lineage: Eukaryota; Metazoa; Arthropoda; Insecta; Lepidoptera; Nymphalidae. The record is from RNAcentral.
UUAAUAACAGUGAAAACUGCAAAUAUUAUCAGAUAUAAUUUAGCAUUAAAUCGAUGUUUUAAAUGUAUAUUAUACUCUUAAUAAUUUAGUAUCAACUAUCAAAUAAUUUUUGGAUUUUAUAGUACAUUUUUGGAAUCAAUCUUGUUGUGCAAAGUCAAAAUUAGGCCAGUUUUCUCCGCUUAACUGAUCACUAAGGAGUUUAUAACACAAUUCACAAUUUAGAAGUCACUAAUAGCAUUGUAAUAGAUAUUUUCUCAAACUACCCUAAAGUGUUUGAAAAGUUAACGACUGCCAGCUCAUUGCUGUUUUUAGAUUUUAGAUUUUAGAAUGGUAAAAGUUUAUUUUAUCAAAUUGCUGUAUUACUAAUGAUGUGCAACAGUUGCUCUUUUUUUCUCUUUUUUUUUCUAUUACAACUCUAAUAUUCUUUAGUUUUAUUAUAAAUAUUUAUUAUAAAAUUUUAUUUUAUUUUGUAAUUCUCAUAAAAUUUUAGUUUAAUGAUGUUCACUUGUUAUGAUUGUUAUUGUAUCAGUUUUAGUUUUGUCGUAUUUAUUUUGAUUUUGUUGAAUUAAUUAAAUUUGGUUAUUUUUUUUAUUCCUAAUUUUUAUUGUUAAUUUUUUAAAGUUAUUAGUAGAUAUAUUUAUUGGUUUAAUUUUUUUAUUUAGUAUUUGUAGAUAGAAACAGAUGUUUAACAUAAUUUUGAAAUGAAACACUUUCAAGUAAGCGGUAUGU